AAAACCGCCCCCUCCUGGAGCCCCAAUUUCCGGUAGCCGCCGGGGGCAGAGUGCCCCCCCCCCCACGCUGCGCUCCUGGCUGGAGGCGUCAGUUUAGCUGAAUUGUCCCCUCCCGCCCCGCUCCCUCGCCCUGCUGCCUGCCCGGCCCCGCCCGCAUGUCCCCCCGCCAGCUCCAGCGUCUGAGCGUCAGGCUCGUCCCAACCCGACCGCAGUGGUUAGAGCCGGGGCUCCCACACCCUGAGAAACCGCUCUGCUCGGCUGUGAAACUGCCCCCGCUAGGGGAAGCAGGGCGGCAGGAGGAGCAUUUUAUCCUGUAAAGAUGAUUUGUAGGAUUCUUGCUCUCUUGUUUCCUUUCACACUUGCAAACCACGUGUGUCCGAAAUAAUGGCAGAUUGGGGGGUUUCUCUGCCAUCCCUGGGGAGAUUCCAGAUUGUUUUAGCAGCUAGCUGAGCAUAUUGCGCUUAACCUGAGAGGAGAUGGAAUCAGGCAUGUGUGCGAUAAUUGGAUAUUUGUGCUGCUUUGGCAUCAUCAUAAGGGCCAUCAUGGCUGUUACCACCGCCAUCAUAUGCUGAGACCUGGUGACUUACAAUUUUAUCACCAGUUAUAUCUAUCUCACACUUACCUUGCAUUGCAAAGUCCUCCAGGGCAGGGGUUCUCAACCUUUUUCUUACUGAGGCCCCCCUCAACGUGCUAUAAAAACUCCAGGGCCCAGCAGGGGGUGGGGGAAUUUGGGGCUCUGGGCCAGGGGAGACCCUUGGGCACAGACAUAGUUUUACUUCUAUUUACAGGGACCUCACAGGGUCCAGGGAUGGAGCACCACCUCCACUUCCUGACUCACUCAGGAGGCAACCCAGCCUGUCUGGGCUGUGGGGGAUGCAACCAAAAAAUAUAACUGAAAGGAGGAACUCAGUUCAAAAAGUUUGAAAACUGCUCAGGGUGCAGGGAGGAGGUAGCUAGGGGCUGUGUGUGGGCAGGGGAGUAGUUCCAGAUGCAGGCAGGGGGUAGCUAGAUACUGUGUGUGGAGGGGGACUCCCAGGGUUGCUCCCAGCUUUGGCGGGGCAAUGGGGCUCCCAGCUUCAGCCCCACACCUCUUCUGGCUUUGGGGGCUUAAGGGGGUACUGGCAUCAGUCCUGUACCACUCCUGGCUGUGGUAGGGGGUGCGACCUUUAGCCCUGUGCUGCUCCCAGCUUUGGGGCUGGGGGCCACCAGCUUUAGUGUUGAGACUAGGGGCCAGCCAUGGGGCUCUGCUGACCCCCUGAAAGGGCUCACGGAUCCUGGUUGAGAACCACUGCUCUAGGGACAUGGCUGUUGAUUUUUCAUGGAAGGCACUGAGAUACAGUGAUGGUCACCACUAUAAACUCUAAGAGAGAACCCAUUGGUGAGAAGAGCUGAGUUCUGAAGAGAUGAAUUCUGAUGGAUUCUGACUGAGCACAUUUCCCACAGAAGUGCUUAUCAGAGUAGAGAACUGAGUUUUGCGGGCUGGCAUCACCGGUAGAGAAGCUAUCCUACAAUGCCCCACACUGACAGUUAAAUUGGUGCAAGCACUCCUGGUGAGGACACAAGAAGCGUAGUGUGGACAUGUAAAACCGAUUCAAUUGCAGCAAUGCCUGUACAUCGAAGUAACUUAGCUGAAAGAGGGAAGCAGAAAUCUGAGUGACGUGGGGAGCGAGGGCACCAUGUAUCAAGUAUUCCCAGGGACUGCCCAUUUCACAGCUCCUUGCAAAUCUGCCUAGUGACAGCACUAGGGGGCAACCUGAGCCUGGAAGAUGAGGUUAUUCAAUCUGCCUGCAGAAGGUCGGUGUCUAAUGGAGUCCACACUCAUUGUUGCACAAGUAGGGGGAGCAUAGGAACAGGAAACCAACCUGCUGCAAGGGUUGCAGUUAUUUUUGUGCAGGAAGUAUCCACGGUUACAUACACAGAUCGUGUCACUGUUCUUUGUACCUGUAGAGAAAAGAGGGAGAUGUCAGCCCCAGGGGAGAUGACAGAGAAGGAAAAUACCUCUAGGGUGGGGAGAGGAUGAUCACUCUUUGUGGGUGG
Molecule: long non-coding RNA, 2037 nt
Organism: Mauremys reevesii (Reeves's turtle)
Lineage: Eukaryota; Metazoa; Chordata; Testudines; Geoemydidae
Exons: 4
Source: RefSeq, a predicted model, not a curated record